UACGAAGGGGGCUAGCGUUGCUCGGAAUCACUGGGCGUAAAGCGCACGUAGGCGGAAUUGUAAGUCAGGGGUGAAAUCCCGGGGCUCAACCUCGGAACUGCCUUUGAUACUGCGAUUCUUGAGUUCGAUAGAGGUGGGUGGAAUUCCUAGUGUAGAGGUGAAAUUCGUAGAUAUUAGGAAGAACACCGGUGGCGAAGGCGGCCCACUGGAUCGACACUGACGCUGAGGUGCGAAAGCUAGGGGAGCAAACGGG
Molecule: ribosomal RNA, 253 nt
Filed under: uncultured bacterium
Lineage: Bacteria
Description: partial 16S ribosomal RNA
Rfam family: Bacterial small subunit ribosomal RNA
Source: RNAcentral